This 170-nucleotide ribosomal RNA is filed under the name uncultured bacterium. RNAcentral's name for it is "partial 16S ribosomal RNA". It matches the Rfam family "Bacterial small subunit ribosomal RNA", at positions 338 to 525 of the family's 1533-position model. The record is from RNAcentral.
CCUACGGGAGGCAGCAGUGAGGAAUCUUCCACAAUGGGGGAAACCCUGAUGGAGCAACGCCGCGUGCAGGAUGAAGGCCUUCGGGUUGUAAACUGCUUUUAUAAGUGAAGAAUAUGACGGUAACUUAUGAAUAAGCACCGGCUAACUACGUGCCAGCAGCCGCGGUAAUA